GACGAACGCUGGCGGGGUGCUUAACACAUGCAAGUCGAACGGAAAGGCCCUGCUUUUGUGGGGUGCUCGAGUGGCGAACGGGUGAGUAACACGUGAGUAACCUGCCCUUGACUUUGGGAUAACUUCAGGAAACUGGGGCUACUACCGGAUAGGAGCUCCUGCUGCAUGGUGGGGGUUGGAAAGUUUCGGCGGUUGGGGAUGGACUCGCGGCUUAUCAGCUUGUUGGUGGGGUAGUGGCUUACCAAGGCUUUGACGGGUAGCCGGCCUGAGAGGGUGACCGGCCACAUUGGGACUGAGAUACGGCCCAGACUCCUACGGGAGGCAGCAGUGGGGAAUAUUGCACAAUGGGCGGAAGCCUGAUGCAGCAACGCCGCGUGCGGGAUGACGGCCUUCGGGUUGUAAACCGCUUUCGCCUGUGACGAAGCGUGAGUGACGGUAAUGGGUAAAGAAGCACCGGCUAACUACGUG
This 468-nucleotide ribosomal RNA is filed under the name uncultured bacterium. RNAcentral's name for it is "partial 16S ribosomal RNA". It matches the Rfam family "Bacterial small subunit ribosomal RNA", at positions 28 to 507 of the family's 1533-position model. The record is from RNAcentral.